RNAcentral lists this long non-coding RNA (656 nucleotides) under Mus musculus (house mouse). Its description in RNAcentral is "long non-coding RNA chr6:142403199-142403855". Lineage: Eukaryota; Metazoa; Chordata; Mammalia; Rodentia; Muridae. The record is from RNAcentral.
ACCUGUGUAAGGUGCCCUGUAUAUUUAUAAUAGGCUUUGGCCUAUAUGAUUGACAGUGGCUAGGUAUCACUCGUGUUAGAAUAAGAGUCUGCCAUUUUACUCCUUUGUAGACAUGACUCUAUCAAAGUGGUUUUCACACUACAGCAAGCAUCCCUUUCAGCAGUCUGAUUUCAGAAAACACUGGACCUGGGAAGAAUGAGAGGCUCAUAGUCCUUAGUAAGGCUGAGGCAGCUUUCAGUUUAGGGUGAGACUAGUCUGCAGUGAGCCUAAACUGCUUGGCCUCCCUCGCGGCUUUUCUCAAGCAGAACCUCGAGGCUCUGCUUUUAAACAAAGCAGCCCUCAGACUUCUAGAAGUCCUAUUGUGAGUUCCCUCAACCCUACCCCCUUCUUAAAGGAGCCUUCUGUCUUUAACAAAAAACAAACAGAUACUUUGGUUAUUCCCCCCAGGUGGAAGACAAGGUCCAGUCCUUAGCCUUAAGUGUUUCUGUCAUGUUCAAGUGUAUCUUCUGUAACAGAAACAUACUUGCAGUGUUUCUUUUCCCUUCUAAUUCUCUGGAGUGCAGCUGCUGUAGAAGUCUCAUGGUCAAAUCAUAUACUCUAACAAUGGCGUAUUGUAAAUACACUUGUCUGACCUCAAUAAAAGGGUACUUUUCUAU